Triticum urartu is the source of this 1312-nucleotide long non-coding RNA. RefSeq lists it as uncharacterized. The record is from RefSeq and is a predicted model, not a curated record. NCBI's taxonomy places the organism in Eukaryota, Viridiplantae, Streptophyta, Magnoliopsida, Poales, Poaceae.
AUCUUAUCUCUCCAGAACACACUACAGCCAUUCGUUCCCCUCAAGUCUCUCUCCUCCCAAUCCCAAUCUCGUCAGCCAUGGCACGACCAUCCCCCCGACGAGCAGCUCCUUCCAUGGUGCUCGUGUGGCUCCUACCUCUCCAUGGCUGUGACGCUCAUCACCUUGUCUGCCUCCGCCGGCAGCUGGACACGCGCCCUCUCCAUGGCCGUCGCAACCAGGGUGCUUCGAUCGCCAUGGCCAAGCUGCACCCGGCCCCGGCAACGGUGGCGAGUUUGUGCUGGAACCGGCUGGUGUAUGUGCUACAAGGUCGGUGCCUCGCCAGGGAAGCUACAUCCAGCAGCAAGGAGUGUUGUAUCCAACGUUGUUCGAAUGUCGGGAGCUGCAAUCGUGCACGCCGGAGCUCCAACCGGUUACUGGGGGAGCUGCAAGAGAGGGUGGCCAUUUUUUGUUGAUGCAUUUUUUGCUGAACCAAUUUUUUGUUUUUGUUGGAACCGGUGUAUUUUUUUGCUGGAACCAAGAUAUUUUUUUGCUUCAUCGGAUGCAGAGCUCUCAAAUGCUCAUGUCGUUUUUGUUGGCACCUAAGCUUGUUUUUGCUAGAAGCAUUUUUUUGAUUUUGCUUCAACCGACCACCGGAUUUCGACCCAGGGUGAAGUUUUUUGCUGGAAGAUUUUUGUUGCUUCUAGAUUUUUUGCUGCUUGGCACUCGAACCCGGCGAGCUGGAGACGCAGAGAUGAUGCAGCCAUCCACCCUAACUGCUAGCACAUGCAUCAUCAGAAGUUUGGAUCCAACAAAUUAUUUUGCUACCACCAUAAUUUUUUACUAGAACCAACUUCAAAUUUUGCUUCCAUCAUGUUCUGUUUUUGCUGAAUCCAGCUUUUGUUUUUGCUUCCACCAUGACGGCGGCCGGCGGCAACGACUGCGGCCGGCGGCGACGACGACGACCGGCGGGGAGGGCGGCUACAGGCGAGCGCACCAGGGUGGUACUUUCAAACUGGGCGCAUCGCUCAUCCAUGGUAGCGCGCUGGAAGUUUUUUUUAAGGAAGAAGACGCCUGGUGAAAGUAAAGAAGAGAAUCGUACGGCCAUGAGUUGUUCGAUCGGACGCUGCUGGUAUGACCGGCUCAAAGUUGGGCCGGCGCACCGGCGCCUAGUAAUGGCCAGAAUCGAAUUUGUUUUUCUCUAACGCCGGAUAGGGAUCGGUCAGAAUGCUCUCAAGUGCAGCAAAAAAAAUGAAAUAUCUGUAGGACACAUGGCCUUGCUUUUUUUUCUUGAGAAAUCUCCCAUGCUUUAUUGAAUAAGAGUAAUGUUCAUAGA